GAUGAACGCUGGCGUGCCUAAUACAUGCAAGUCGAGCGAACAGACGAGGAGCUUGCUCCUCUGACGUUAGCGGCGGACGGGUGAGUAACACGUGGAUAACCUACCUAUAAGACUGGGAUAACUUCGGGAAACCGGAGCUAAUACCGGAUAAUAUAUUGAACCGCAUGGUUCACUAGUGAAAGACGGUUUUGCUGUCACUUAUAGAUGGAUCCGCGCCGCAUUAGCUAGUUGGUAAGGUAACGGCUUACCAAGGCAACGAUGCGUAGCCGACCUGAGAGGGUGAUCGGCCACACUGGAACUGAGACACGGUCCAGACUCCUACGGGAGGCAGCAGUAGGGAAUCUUCCGCAAUGGGCGAAAGCCUGACGGAGCAACGCCGCGUGAGUGAUGAAGGUCUUCGGAUCGUAAAACUCUGUUAUUAGGGAAGAACAAAUGUGUAAGUAACUAUGCACGUCUUGACGGUACCUAAUCAGAAAGCCACGGCUAACUACGUG
This 494-nucleotide ribosomal RNA is filed under the name uncultured bacterium. Its description in RNAcentral is "partial 16S ribosomal RNA". It matches the Rfam family "Bacterial small subunit ribosomal RNA", at positions 28 to 507 of the family's 1533-position model. The record is from RNAcentral.